UACGUAGGGUGCGAGCGUUGUUCGGAAUUAUUGGGCGUAAAGAGUUUGUAGGCGGUUUGUCGCGUCUGCUGUGAAAAUCCGGGGCUCAACCCCGGACUUGCAGUGGGUACGGGCAGACUAGAGUGUGGUAGGGGAGACUGGAAUUCCUGGUGUAGCGGUGAAAUGCGCAGAUAUCAGGAGGAACACCGAUGGCGAAGGCAGGUCUCUGGGCCAAUACUGACGCUGAGAAGCGAAAGCAUGGGGAGCGAGCAGG
This 253-nucleotide ribosomal RNA is filed under the name uncultured bacterium. Its description in RNAcentral is "partial 16S ribosomal RNA". It matches the Rfam family "Bacterial small subunit ribosomal RNA", at positions 524 to 776 of the family's 1533-position model. The record is from RNAcentral.